UCCUACGGGAGGCAGCAGUGGGGAAUCUUGGACAAUGGGGGCAACCCUGAUCCAGCCAUGCCGCGUGAGUGAAGAAGGUCUUCGGAUUGUAAAGCUCUUUUGCCAGGGACGAUAAUGACGGUACCUGGAGAAUAAGCCCCGGCAAACUUCGUGCCAGCAGCCGCGGUAAU
RNAcentral lists this ribosomal RNA (170 nucleotides) under uncultured Paenisporosarcina sp. RNAcentral describes it as "partial 16S ribosomal RNA". It matches the Rfam family "Bacterial small subunit ribosomal RNA", at positions 337 to 524 of the family's 1533-position model. The record is from RNAcentral. Lineage: Bacteria; Bacillati; Bacillota; Bacilli; Caryophanales; Caryophanaceae.